UCUCCUAACGGCAGGAAAAACCGAAAAGAAGCCCGGCGAAGGACGACCCCACAUGAACUGAAAAGGUCGCCGACGGUCUUGGAAUGGCAUGACACAGGCAAAGAGAAGGAAACAAGUACCCAGCGGGUCAGGAAAAAGAGAAAAAGAAAAUACAUGUCUCGCAAAGCACGGUUCGGGCAGGAUGAACUGGAGGCCGAUCCAAGCUGCAAAUUCCUCUUCCCGUCUCUGUUCUUCUCAGUCGCAUUCUCCAGUGCGUGUAACAUCUCUCGCCCCAUCUCUCUUCAUUCUGUCCCCAAAGUUCCGACCUUAGCGAGAAAGGGGUGGGAUUGAUCUCCGAAGGCGGCGGGGGUAACAACGGCAGUAACGAAGACCUGUUUCAAGAAGAGCCGUAGCCAUGACGGCCGCCACCUGAGACGCUCCGACAAGGUCGGCAUGCGCUACUUNNNNN
This 448-nucleotide long non-coding RNA is filed under the name Elaeis guineensis (African oil palm). RNAcentral describes it as "long non-coding RNA (EGUI_LNC050541)". Lineage: Eukaryota; Viridiplantae; Streptophyta; Magnoliopsida; Arecales; Arecaceae. The record is from RNAcentral.